UACGGAGGGUGCAAGCGUUAUCCGGAUUCACUGGGUUUAAAGGGCGCGUAGGCGGCCUUCUAAGUCGGACGUGAAAUCCCUCGGCUCAACCGAGGAACUGCGUCCGAUACUGACAGGCUUGAAUCCGGGAGAGGGAUGCGGAAUUCCAGGUGUAGCGGUGAAAUGCGUAGAUAUCAGGAGGAACACCAAUUGCGAAGGCAGCUCGCUGGAACGUAACUGACGCUGAGACGCGAAAGCGUGGGGAGCAAACAGG
RNAcentral lists this ribosomal RNA (253 nucleotides) under uncultured bacterium. RNAcentral describes it as "partial 16S ribosomal RNA". It matches the Rfam family "Bacterial small subunit ribosomal RNA", at positions 524 to 776 of the family's 1533-position model. The record is from RNAcentral.